RNAcentral lists this ribosomal RNA (468 nucleotides) under uncultured bacterium. RNAcentral describes it as "partial 16S ribosomal RNA". It matches the Rfam family "Bacterial small subunit ribosomal RNA", at positions 28 to 507 of the family's 1533-position model. The record is from RNAcentral.
GACGAACGCUGGCGGCGUGCUUAACACAUGCCAGUCGAACGGAAAGGCCCUGCUUUUGCGGGGUGCUCGAUUGGCGAACGCGUGUGUAACACGUGUGUAACCUGCCCCUGUCUUUGGGAUAACUUUUGGAAACUCGGGCUAAUAUCCGAUAGGAUCUCCUGCACCAUGGUGGUGGUUGGAAAGAUUCGGCGGUUGUGGAUGUACUCGCGGCUUAUCCGCUUGUUGGUGGGGUAGUGGCUUACCAAGGCUUCGACGGGUAGCCGGCCUGAGAAGUUGACCAGGGACAUUGGGACUGAGGUACGCACCAGAAGCGUACGGGAGGCAGUAGUGGGGAACAUGACACAGUAAGGGGAAGCCUGAGGCAACGACGUCGGGAGCGGAAUGACGGGCUUCGAGUUAUAAACAACUGUCGAAGGUGACGAGGCGUGAGUGACGGUAAUGGGUAAAGAAGCACCGGCUAACUACGUG